This 646-nucleotide long non-coding RNA is filed under the name Sus scrofa (pig). RNAcentral's name for it is "lncRNA (ENSSSCG00060034720.1)". The record is from RNAcentral. Lineage: Eukaryota; Metazoa; Chordata; Mammalia; Artiodactyla; Suidae.
UGUCCCCGUGCCGGUUUGUUCCCAGCAUGAGGCGUUAUCGGGCCCUGCUCCACACUGUUAUUAGGAACGGAUGAAGCACACGGCCGGUCGGCCGCUCCUCCCAUGACCGCAGGUCCCGAGGUUCGGUUCCCUGGUCCGCAGCCUGAGCGCCAACCUAGGCCCCUCGCCGGUGGCGGGGGGGUGCGCUCAUUGCCUGGCCUCCCCUUUUCCGCUGCAGCAGCGCGCGCCGCUCCUAUCCCGCGGCAGCCCAGCAGGUGGCGCUCGCCUCCCCCGCCCCCGUCUCCACCGCAGACAGCCGUGACGUCAGCUGCUCGACGCCAUUUGAAUGACUCUCGCAACGGAGAAACCGGACUUGUGUGGCUCGCAGCAUAACUAUUUGGCGUUGCUUCUUCAGUGGCUGUGGCUCGGCCCCUGGCUCGGCAACCUCCAUGUGUCGCAGGCUGGAUGGAGGAACGGUGAGAACAGGCAGGAGGUGGGAAAACAGCAUCAGAGGGUUCCUGCCUGCUGCCAUGCCCUGCCGCCCCCAUCUGCCCCCCGUCCGGCACAGGGGUUGAUGCUUGGUAAGUGCAUAGAUGAUACUAGCAACAGCAUCAUCAUCAUGCUACUCACAACAAGUAAAUGUACUGAGUACUUAAUUCAGUGCUAA